This 218-nucleotide unclassified non-coding RNA is filed under the name Bombus terrestris (buff-tailed bumblebee). Its description in RNAcentral is "misc RNA ENSBTSG00005029082.1". Lineage: Eukaryota; Metazoa; Arthropoda; Insecta; Hymenoptera; Apidae. The record is from RNAcentral.
AUUAAACGAAGAAUCUAAUUACCUCGAAGUGUUCAAACUUACCCAACAAUGUUAACAAAAACUCAUUAGAGGAUGACACGUAAAACGCUUCCAUAAAGAGACCAGACAACGACGACGAUUUAAUCAACUGGUCACGUCUUGGUAACUUUGUUGCAAGCAGCCGGAAGUCGAGAAGAAAUUCCACUAGUGGCGGGUUUGGACAGACCAACGGAAUUCCA